RNAcentral lists this long non-coding RNA (224 nucleotides) under Homo sapiens (human). Its description in RNAcentral is "HSALNT0162550". Lineage: Eukaryota; Metazoa; Chordata; Mammalia; Primates; Hominidae. The record is from RNAcentral.
GUCACCGACUGCAUCCCUUGGCUGGGGCCACUGUGACCUUUGCCUGGGAAGUCCGGAGGGUCCCCUGUGGCUGUAUUGGGGUGCCUACACACCCUCUGACCCACCUGGGGGAGUUCUGAGGGGGUUCCCUUACAGUGUGCACCGAGACCGAAUGUCCUGGGGCAGCUGCUGACAGCGUUUGGGGCAUGUGCCCGCUCUGUUUGUGUGUUAGCCUCUGUGUGUGG